RNAcentral lists this transfer RNA (72 nucleotides) under Cricetulus griseus (Chinese hamster). It matches the Rfam family "tRNA". From Rfam's summary of the family: Transfer RNA (tRNA) molecules are approximately 80 nucleotides in length. Lineage: Eukaryota; Metazoa; Chordata; Mammalia; Rodentia; Cricetidae. The record is from Rfam by way of RNAcentral.
GGAGAAAUGGCUCAGUGGUUAGGAGCACUUGGCUGUUAUUCCAGAGGACCUGGGUUCAAUUCCCAGCAUCCA